UGGGGUGUAGCUCAAUGGUAGAGUGUGUGUUUAACAUUCAUGAGGCCCUGGGUUUGAUCCCCAGCACCACAU
Non-coding RNA from Sciurus carolinensis (gray squirrel), 72 nucleotides. The record is from the annotation of a RefSeq genome assembly. Lineage: Eukaryota; Metazoa; Chordata; Mammalia; Rodentia; Sciuridae.